UAACAUUAUCUCUUUAUAUAUUGUCAUAAUUUAUUAUUUUUUGUUUUACGUUUUCCUUUUUUUUGAUUUGUCGUACUUUAUAUCUCGUAAUGAUCAUUUUUAUACUAUUAUAUUUUUUUCUGAUUUUAUGUUUUAUAUAUUUUUUUGUUUUUUCAUAUGGAACAAUUUUUAAAUUUAACAUAUUAGUAUAAUUUACUUUAUUUUUAGUUUAUUUC
This 215-nucleotide long non-coding RNA is filed under the name Capsella rubella. RNAcentral describes it as "long non-coding RNA (CRUB_LNC003933)". Lineage: Eukaryota; Viridiplantae; Streptophyta; Magnoliopsida; Brassicales; Brassicaceae. The record is from RNAcentral.